AACGCGAAGAACCUUACCAGGUCUUGACAUCUAGUGCAAUCUGUAGAGAUACGGAGUUCCCUUCGGGGACGCUAAGACAGGUGGUGCAUGGCUGUCGUCAGCUCGUGUCGUGAGAUGUUGGGUUAAGUCCCGCAACGAGCGCAACCCUUGUUAUUAGUUGCCAGCAUUAAGUUGGGCACUCUAAUGAGACUGCCGGUGACAAACCGGAGGAAGGUGGGGAUGACG
This 225-nucleotide ribosomal RNA is filed under the name uncultured bacterium. RNAcentral's name for it is "partial 16S rRNA". It matches the Rfam family "Bacterial small subunit ribosomal RNA", at positions 958 to 1184 of the family's 1533-position model. The record is from RNAcentral.